AGAGUUUGAUCAUGGCUCAGAGUGAACGCUGGCGGUAGGCCUAACACAUGCAAGUCGAACGGCAGCACAGUAAGAGCUUGCUCUUACGGGUGGCGAGUGGCGGACGGGUGAGGAAUACAUCGGAAUCUACUUUUUCGUGGGGGAUAACGUAGGGAAACUUACGCUAAUACCGCAUACGACCUACGGGUGAAAGCAGGGGAUCUUCGGACCUUGCGCGAUUGAAUGAGCCGAUGUCGGAUUAGCUAGUUGGCGGGGUAAAGGCCCACCAAGGCGACGCUCCGUAGCUGGUCUGAGAGGAUGAUCAGCCCCUCUGGAACCGAGACACGGUCCAGACUCUUACGGGAGGCUGC
Molecule: ribosomal RNA, 350 nt
Filed under: uncultured bacterium
Lineage: Bacteria
Description: bacterial SSU rRNA
Rfam family: Bacterial small subunit ribosomal RNA
Source: RNAcentral